UCGAUGGGAACCAGGUUAAUAUUCCUGGGCCAGGAGGAUGUGACGGAUCUCGAAGGUAGUUCAUCCUUAUCGGAUUGAAUGGGCUGCUAAGAGGUUCCUGGAAAUAGCCCUCCAUUAGAUCGUACCCUAAACCGACACAGGUGGACUGGUAGAGAAUACCAAGGCGCUUGAGAGAACUACGUUGAAGGAACUCGGCAAAAUACCUCCGUAAGUUCGCGAGAAGGAGGCCCGGCGUUUACGCAAGUAGAUUCCGGGGGCACAAACCAGGGGGUGGCGACUGUUUACUAAAAACACAGGGCUCUGCGAAGUCGCAAGACGACGUAUAGGGUCUGACGCCUGCCCGGUGCCGGAAGGUUAA
RNAcentral lists this ribosomal RNA (358 nucleotides) under Isochrysis galbana. Its description in RNAcentral is "partial Bacterial large subunit ribosomal RNA". It matches the Rfam family "Bacterial large subunit ribosomal RNA", at positions 1415 to 1880 of the family's 2925-position model. Lineage: Eukaryota; Haptophyta; Isochrysidales; Isochrysidaceae. The record is from RNAcentral.